Molecule: ribosomal RNA, 2765 nt
Filed under: Escherichia coli 4-203-08_S1_C2
Lineage: Bacteria; Pseudomonadati; Pseudomonadota; Gammaproteobacteria; Enterobacterales; Enterobacteriaceae
Description: bacterial LSU rRNA
Rfam family: Bacterial large subunit ribosomal RNA
Source: RNAcentral
AGCGUACACGGUGGAUGCCCUGGCAGUCAGAGGCGAUGAAGGACGUGCUAAUCUGCGAUAAGCGUCGGUAAGGUGAUAUGAACCGUUAUAACCGGCGAUUUCCGAAUGGGGAAACCCAGUGUGUUUCGACACACUAUCAUUAACUGAAUCCAUAGGUUAAUGAGGCGAACCGGGGGAACUGAAACAUCUAAGUACCCCGAGGAAAAGAAAUCAACCGAGAUUCCCCCAGUAGCGGCGAGCGAACGGGGAGCAGCCCAGAGCCUGAAUCAGUGUGUGUGUUAGUGGAAGCGUCUGGAAAGGCGCGCGAUACAGGGUGACAGCCCCGUACACAAAAAUGCACAUGCUGUGAGCUCGAUGAGUAGGGCGGGACACGUGGUAUCCUGUCUGAAUAUGGGGGGACCAUCCUCCAAGGCUAAAUACUCCUGACUGACCGAUAGUGAACCAGUACCGUGAGGGAAAGGCGAAAAGAACCCCGGCGAGGGGAGUGAAAAAGAACCUGAAACCGUGUACGUACAAGCAGUGGGAGCACGCUUCGGCGUGUGACUGCGUACCUUUUGUAUAAUGGGUCAGCGACUUAUAUUCUGUAGCAAGGUUAACCGAAUAGGGGAGCCGAAGGGAAACCGAGUCUUAACUGGGCGUUAAGUUGCAGGGUAUAGACCCGAAACCCGGUGAUCUAGCCAUGGGCAGGUUGAAGGUUGGGUAACACUAACUGGAGGACCGAACCGACUAAUGUUGAAAAAUUAGCGGAUGACUUGUGGCUGGGGGUGAAAGGCCAAUCAAACCGGGAGAUAGCUGGUUCUCCCCGAAAGCUAUUUAGGUAGCGCCUCGUGAAUUCAUCUCCGGGGGUAGAGCACUGUUUCGGCAAGGGGGUCAUCCCGACUUACCAACCCGAUGCAAACUGCGAAUACCGGAGAAUGUUAUCACGGGAGACACACGGCGGGUGCUAACGUCCGUCGUGAAGAGGGAAACAACCCAGACCGCCAGCUAAGGUCCCAAAGUCAUGGUUAAGUGGGAAACGAUGUGGGAAGGCCCAGACAGCCAGGAUGUUGGCUUAGAAGCAGCCAUCAUUUAAAGAAAGCGUAAUAGCUCACUGGUCGAGUCGGCCUGCGCGGAAGAUGUAACGGGGCUAAACCAUGCACCGAAGCUGCGGCAGCGACGCUGAUGCGUUGUUGGGUAGGGGAGCGUUCUGUAAGCCUGCGAAGGUGUGCUGUGAGGCAUGCUGGAGGUAUCAGAAGUGCGAAUGCUGACAUAAGUAACGAUAAAGCGGGUGAAAAGCCCGCUCGCCGGAAGACCAAGGGUUCCUGUCCAACGUUAAUCGGGGCAGGGUGAGUCGACCCCUAAGGCGAGGCCGAAAGGCGUAGUCGAUGGGAAACAGGUUAAUAUUCCUGUACUUGGUGUUACUGCGAAGGGGGGACGGAGAAGGCUAUGUUGGCCGGGCGACGGUUGUCCCGGUUUAAGCGUGUAGGCUGGUUUUCCAGGCAAAUCCGGAAAAUCAAGGCUGAGGCGUGAUGACGAGGCACUACGGUGCUGAAGCAACAAAUGCCCUGCUUCCAGGAAAAGCCUCUAAGCAUCAGGUAACAUCAAAUCGUACCCCAAACCGACACAGGUGGUCAGGUAGAGAAUACCAAGGCGCUUGAGAGAACUCGGGUGAAGGAACUAGGCAAAAUGGUGCCGUAACUUCGGGAGAAGGCACGCUGAUAUGUAGGUGAGGUCCCUCGCGGAUGGAGCUGAAAUCAGUCGAAGAUACCAGCUGGCUGCAACUGUUUAUUAAAAACACAGCACUGUGCAAACACGAAAGUGGACGUAUACGGUGUGACGCCUGCCCGGUGCCGGAAGGUUAAUUGAUGGGGUCAGCGCAAGCGAAGCUCUUGAUCGAAGCCCCGGUAAACGGCGGCCGUAACUAUAACGGUCCUAAGGUAGCGAAAUUCCUUGUCGGGUAAGUUCCGACCUGCACGAAUGGCGUAAUGAUGGCCAGGCUGUCUCCACCCGAGACUCAGUGAAAUUGAACUCGCUGUGAAGAUGCAGUGUACCCGCGGCAAGACGGAAAGACCCCGUGAACCUUUACUAUAGCUUGACACUGAACAUUGAGCCUUGAUGUGUAGGAUAGGUGGGAGGCUUUGAAGUGUGGACGCCAGUCUGCAUGGAGCCGACCUUGAAAUACCACCCUUUAAUGUUUGAUGUUCUAACGUUGACCCGUAAUCCGGGUUGCGGACAGUGUCUGGUGGGUAGUUUGACUGGGGCGGUCUCCUCCUAAAGAGUAACGGAGGAGCACGAAGGUUGGCUAAUCCUGGUCGGACAUCAGGAGGUUAGUGCAAUGGCAUAAGCCAGCUUGACUGCGAGCGUGACGGCGCGAGCAGGUGCGAAAGCAGGUCAUAGUGAUCCGGUGGUUCUGAAUGGAAGGGCCAUCGCUCAACGGAUAAAAGGUACUCCGGGGAUAACAGGCUGAUACCGCCCAAGAGUUCAUAUCGACGGCGGUGUUUGGCACCUCGAUGUCGGCUCAUCACAUCCUGGGGCUGAAGUAGGUCCCAAGGGUAUGGCUGUUCGCCAUUUAAAGUGGUACGCGAGCUGGGUUUAGAACGUCGUGAGACAGUUCGGUCCCUAUCUGCCGUGGGCGCUGGAGAACUGAGGGGGGCUGCUCCUAGUACGAGAGGACCGGAGUGGACGCAUCACUGGUGUUCGGGUUGUCAUGCCAAUGGCACUGCCCGGUAGCUAAAUGCGGAAGAGAUAAGUGCUGAAAGCAUCUAAGCACGAAACUUGCCCCGAGA